This 781-nucleotide ribosomal RNA is filed under the name Bacillus zhangzhouensis. RNAcentral describes it as "bacterial SSU rRNA". It matches the Rfam family "Bacterial small subunit ribosomal RNA", at positions 59 to 823 of the family's 1533-position model. The record is from RNAcentral. Lineage: Bacteria; Bacillati; Bacillota; Bacilli; Caryophanales; Bacillaceae.
AAGUCGAGCGGACAGAAGGGAGCUUGGUCCCGGAUGUUAGCGGCGGACGUGUGAGUAACACGUGGGUAACCUGCCUGUAAGACUGGGAUAACUCCGGGAAACCGGAGCUAAUACCGGAUAGUUCCUUGAACCGCAUGGGUCAAGGAUGAAAGACGGUUUCGGCUGUCACUUACAGAUGGACCCGCGGCGCAUUAGCUAGUUGGUGGGGUAAUGGCUCACCAAGGCGACGAUGCGUAGCCGACCUGAGAGGGUGAUCGGCCACACUGGGACUGAGACACGGCCCAGACUCCUACGGGAGGCAGCAGUAGGGAAUCUUCCGCAAUGGACGAAAGUCUGACGGAGCAACGCCGCGUGAGUGAUGAAGGUUUUCGGAUCGUAAAGCUCUGUUGUUAGGGAAGAACAAGUGCGAGAGUAACUGCUCGCACCUUGACGGUACCUAACCAGAAAGCCACGGCUAACUACGUGCCAGCAGCCGCGGUAAUACGUAGGUGGCAAGCGUUGUCCGGAAUUAUUGGGCGUAAAGGGCUCGCAGGCGGUUUCUUAGGUCUGAUGUGAAAGCCCCCGGCUCAACCGGGGAGGGUCAUUGGAAACUGGGAAACUUGAGUGCAGAAGAGGAGAGUGGAAUUCCACGUGUAGCGGUGAAAUGCGUAGAGAUGUGGAGGAACACCAGUGGCGAAGGCGACUCUCUGGUCUGUAACUGACGCUGAGGAGCGAAAGCGUGGGGAGCGAACAGGAUUAGAUACCCUGGUAGUCCACGCCGUAAACGAUGAGUGCUAAGUGU